GACGAACGCUGGCGGCGUGCUUAACACAUGCAAGUCGAACGGAAAGGCCCUGCUUUUGUGGGGUGCUCGAGUGGCGAACGGGUGAGUAACACGUGAGUAACCUGCCCUUGACUUUGGGAUAACUUCAGGAAACUGGGGCUAAUACCGGAUAGGAGCUCCUGCUGCAUGGUGGGGGUUGGAAAGUUUCGGCGGUUGGGGAUGGACUCGCGGCUUAUCAGCUUGUUGGUGGGGUAGUGGCUUACCAAGGCUUUGACGGGUAGCCGGCCUGAGAGGGUGACCGGCCACAUUGGGACUGAGGUACGGCCCAGACUCCUACGGGAGGCAGCAGGGGGGAGUAUUGCACAAUGGGCGGAAGCCUGAUGCAGCAACGCCGCGUGCGGGAUGACGGCCUUCGGGUUGUAAACCGCUUUCGCCUGUGACGAAGCGUGAGUGACGGUAAUGGGUAAAGAAGCACCGGCUAACUACGUG
RNAcentral lists this ribosomal RNA (468 nucleotides) under uncultured bacterium. RNAcentral describes it as "partial 16S ribosomal RNA". It matches the Rfam family "Bacterial small subunit ribosomal RNA", at positions 28 to 507 of the family's 1533-position model. The record is from RNAcentral.